UUAAAGGUGUACGAUCAUGUA
RNAcentral lists this non-coding RNA (21 nucleotides) under Arabidopsis thaliana (thale cress). Lineage: Eukaryota; Viridiplantae; Streptophyta; Magnoliopsida; Brassicales; Brassicaceae. The record is from RNAcentral.